UACGUAGGGGGCGAGCGUUAUCCGGAUUUACUGGGUGUAAAGGGAGCGUAGAGGGCUUUGCAAGCCAGAUGUGAAAGCCCGGGGCUCAACCCCGGGACUGCAUUUGGAACUGUGUGGCUAGAGUGUCGGAGAGGCAGGCGGAAUUCCUAGUGUAGCGGUGAAAUGCGUAGAUAUUAGGAGGAACACCAGUGGCGAAGGCGGCCUGCUGGACGAUGACUGACGUUGAGGCUCGAAAGCGUGGGGAGCAAACAGG
RNAcentral lists this ribosomal RNA (253 nucleotides) under uncultured bacterium. RNAcentral describes it as "partial 16S ribosomal RNA". It matches the Rfam family "Bacterial small subunit ribosomal RNA", at positions 524 to 776 of the family's 1533-position model. The record is from RNAcentral.